This 490-nucleotide ribosomal RNA is filed under the name uncultured bacterium. RNAcentral's name for it is "partial 16S ribosomal RNA". It matches the Rfam family "Bacterial small subunit ribosomal RNA", at positions 30 to 507 of the family's 1533-position model. The record is from RNAcentral.
AUUGAACGCUGGCGGCAGGCCUAACACAUGCAAGUCGAACGGUAACAGGCAGAAGCUUGCUUCUUUGCUGACGAGUGGCGGACGGGUGAGUAAUGUCUGGGAAACUGCCUGAUGGAGGGGGAUAACUACUGGAAACGGUAGCUAAUACCGCAUAACGUCGCAAGACCAAAGAGGGGGGCCUUCGGGCCUCUUGCCGUCGGAUGUGCCCAGAUGGGAGUAGCUAGGAGGGGGGGGAACGGCUCACCUAGGCGACGAGCCCUAGCUGGUCUGAGAGGAUGACCAGCCACACUGGAACUGAGACACGGUCCAGACUCCUACGGGAGGCAGCAGUGGGGAAUAUUGCACAAUGGGCGCAAGCCUGAUGCAGCCAUGCCGCGUGUAUGAAGAAGGCCUUCGGGUUGUAAAGUACUUUCAGCGGGGAGGAAGGGAGUAAAGUUAAUACCUUUGCUCAUUGACGUUACCCGCAGAAGAAGCACCGGCUAACUCCGUG